Molecule: ribosomal RNA, 226 nt
Filed under: Agrobacterium salinitolerans
Lineage: Bacteria; Pseudomonadati; Pseudomonadota; Alphaproteobacteria; Hyphomicrobiales; Rhizobiaceae
Description: partial 16S ribosomal RNA
Rfam family: Bacterial small subunit ribosomal RNA
Source: RNAcentral
GUGCAUGAGUGCAUGAAGUUGGAAUCGCUAGUAAUCGCAGAUCAGCAUGCUGCGGUGAAUACGUUCCCGGGCCUUGUACACACCGCCCGUCACACCAUGGGAGUUGGUUUUACCCGAAGGUAGUGCGCUAACCGCAAGGAGGCAGCUAACCACGGUAGGGUCAGCGACUGGGGUGAAGUCGUAACAAGGUAGCCGUAGGGGAACCUGCGGCUGGAUCACCUCCUUU